GGUUUUGGAUGGACUCGCGGCCUAUCAGCUUGUUGGUGGGGUAAUGGCCUACCAAGGCGACGACGGGUAGCCGGCCUGAGAGGGUGACCGGCCACACUGGGACUGAGACACGGCCCAGACUCCUACGGGAGGCAGCAGUGGGGAAUAUUGCACAAUGGGCGAAAGCCUGAUGCAGCGACGCCGCGUGAGGGAUGACGGCCUUCGGGUUGUAAACCUCUUUCAGUAGGGAAGAAGCCCUCUUUGGGGGUGACGGUACUUGCAGAAGAAGCGCYGGCUAACUACGUGCCAGCAGCCGCGGUAAUACGUAGGGCGCAAGCGUUAUCCGGGAAUUAUUGGGCGUAAAGAGCUCGUAGGCGGUUUGUCGCGUCUGCUGUGAAAGACCGGGGCUCAACUCCGGUUCUGCAGUGGGUACGGGCAGACUAGAGUGCAGUAGGGGAGACUGGAAUUCCUGGUGUAGCGGUGAAAUGCGCAGAUAUCAGGAGGAACACCGAUGGCGAAGGCAGGUCUCUGGGCUGUAACUGACGCUGAGGAGCGAAAGCAUGGGGAGCGAACAGGAUUAGAUACCCUGGUAGUCCAUGCCGUAAACGUUGGGCACUAGGUGUGGGGGACAUUCCACGUUUUCCGCGCCGUAGCUAACGCAUUAAGUGCCCCGCCUGGGGAGUACGGCCGCAAGGCUAAAACUCAAAGGAAUUGACGGGGGCCCGCACAAGCGGCGGAGCAUGCGGAUUAAUUCGAUGCAACGCGAAGAACCUUACCAAGGCUUGACAUGGACCGGAAAGACCUGGAAACAGGUGCCCCGCUUGCGGCCGGUUUACAGGUGGUGCAUGGUUGUCGUCAGCUCGUGUCGUGAGAUGUUGGGUUAAGUCCCGCAACGAGCGCAACCCUCGUUCUAUGUUGCCAGCGGUUCGGCCGGGGACUCAUAGGAGACUGCCGGGGUCAACUCGGAGGAAGGUGGGGACGACGUCAAAUCAUCAUGCCCCUUAUGUCUUGGGCUUCACGCAUGCUACAAUGGCCGGUACAAAGGGUUGCGAUACUGUGAGGUGGAGCUAAUCCCAAAAAGCCGGUCUCAGUUCGGAUUGGGGUCUGCAACUCGACCCCAUGAAGUCGGAGUCGCUAGUAAUCGCAGAUCAGCAACGCUGCGGUGAAUACGUUCCCGGGCCUUGUACACACCGCCCGUCAAGUCACGAAAGUUGGUAACACCCGAAGCCGGUGGCCUAACCCUUGUGGGGGAGCCGUCGAAGUGACCCCUGCG
This 1252-nucleotide ribosomal RNA is filed under the name Arthrobacter sp. AD5. RNAcentral describes it as "bacterial SSU rRNA". It matches the Rfam family "Bacterial small subunit ribosomal RNA", at positions 217 to 1473 of the family's 1533-position model. Lineage: Bacteria; Bacillati; Actinomycetota; Actinomycetes; Micrococcales; Micrococcaceae. The record is from RNAcentral.